Molecule: non-coding RNA, 29 nt
Filed under: Mus musculus (house mouse)
Lineage: Eukaryota; Metazoa; Chordata; Mammalia; Rodentia; Muridae
Source: RNAcentral
UCAAAUCUGAUUUGUUCUUGUAAGUUGGC